GUUCUCCUCUGUUUUCUACACUGCCGCGCGACUCUCCGACCGCGUCUGUCUUCACCUCCGUGAAGCCGUCGACGCAUACAUCUUGUGAAGCCCGAUCGCCGCGUCAGAUCGUCGAUCGAUUUUGAGGCAGCUGCCACGUCUCCUUUGGCCGACCGCUGACCGACCCACACUUAGGAUUUUUGCUGCGAGUUCGACAGUCGUGCGUUGAGGUGUGCUGCUGUCUCUUUUUUACAAUUGUAUCGAGGUUGCUUUGUUGGUAAUAACUUAAGUAUGAAUGGUAAUUGGUUUCAAAGUGGUUCAAGUGUUAUGGUUGGAAUGUUUAGCUAAUUUGUAAAUUGGUUCUUGAAGGUGUUGGGAGUAACGUUGGGCCCCCUUAAAUUCACAACCAAUUUGUGAAUUGUUGAGGG
This 407-nucleotide long non-coding RNA is filed under the name Cucumis sativus (cucumber). Its description in RNAcentral is "long non-coding RNA (CSAT_LNC000264)". Lineage: Eukaryota; Viridiplantae; Streptophyta; Magnoliopsida; Cucurbitales; Cucurbitaceae. The record is from RNAcentral.